This 68-nucleotide transfer RNA is filed under the name Erronea errones. RNAcentral's name for it is "tRNA-Asp". Lineage: Eukaryota; Metazoa; Mollusca; Gastropoda; Littorinimorpha; Cypraeidae. The record is from RNAcentral.
AAAAAGUUAGUUAAAAAAUAAUAUUAGGUUGUCAGCCUAAUGUCACUAAUUCAACUUAGUACUUUUUA